ACGCAAACAUAUGGCUCGAAAAUCCAGAAGAGUUCUAGGCUCUCGCACUUAUCACGAUUACAGUGAUAAUACGCUGCGAAGAGUAUUGGAGGCAAUGGAACAAGGCCAAACACUAAGAUCAGCCUUAAAGCAAUUUGGUAUUUUACUAGGGACCUUAUCACGUAAAAGAAGAAGUCUAUCCACUCGCAAAUACGGAGGCCAGAAGGUUCUGUCCGAUGCAGAGGAGAAUCAAUUGGUUCAUGGGAUAAAAAUGGCAGGUAGUUGGGGGUUUCCUUCAACCGUUUACGAUAUAAAAAUUCUUGUUCAAAAUUACUUGGACAAAAAAGGAGUCAAAGAAAAGUGAUUUAAAAAUAACAUCCCUGGUCGCAGAUGGAUGGAAAGAUUUCUAUUUGAACAUCGAAAGGAGUUAACAGAAAGAAAUGCAGAAAAUGUCAAAAGAUCUCGUUCUGAAGUAUCUGAAAAGAUAACAAAUGAUUAUUUUUCGGAAUUAUUAAAAUCUUUGGAAGGGGUAGAACCAAGUUAUAUCUUUAAUUAUGAUGAGACUAACUUUACAGACGACCCCGGAAAAAAAACGAGUCAUAGUUAAACGGGGUUCAAAACAUCCGGAGCGCUGCAUUGAUAAUAGUAAAGCUUCUGUCUCUGUUAUGAUGGCCGGGACGCAUUUUUACCGACCCUAGCCACGUUCAGCGCGUCAACGUGCCGAAGAUGCCCGAGUGUCCAAUAGAGGCGCGCGGCCUACCGAUCAUAAGCGGAAUUAGAGCGCGAUGCUAAAUAUUGAUCAGUAUAGAUUUUUUUGCGGACCACAUAGCGAGUCGGUGGGUUCAAAAUGAGUAAAAUUAAUACGUUUUUUGCAUUUGAUACAAGUUGCAAAAUAGAAACAAAGGAUUUUAAAUCAAGUGAAUGUUUUACAGUCGAUAUCCACACAAAAUUCGCUUCAGAAGACUACUCAAACCAAGUCAAGAAAUGGAUAUCAAACUUUUCUAUGGUCACCAAGACAAACUGGAUUGUAUUUAGAUCAUUUCCCGAUAAUAAAAGACACCUCUUUAGAAAAAAAUAUAAGUGCCAACACAACUGCAAAAAUAAAGGUGAUAAAAGUGUAAAAAACCGACAAAGGAAUCUAAACUGUAAGGCAUUUGUUAAGGUGCUAAUAAAGAAAGUCAACAAGAACACAAUAAAAAAUGACCCUUUUCUAAAAGAAAAUCCUAAUGUUCUCAUAAAGAUACAUUUUGAACAUAGCCACGUGAUUGAUGUUGCCGAAGCAUAUGGUUUUCUAAGAAUUUCGGAAGGUACAAGGCAAUCCUAUAUAGAAUAUUUUAAUAUGGGUAUGACACCAGCAGCUGCUCACAGUUUUCAUGAACUUAAAAUAUUGGGCGAUAAUGAAGACAAUUUUUCUCGUGUUAAAAUUUUGGCAAAUGCUCAAGUCAAUCCAAGAAAAAGACAUAUAUAUACACAUUAUUCAAUAAUUGGAGGUAUGGAGAAAUCAAUAAAACUUUGGUGGCACGUCAUCAAUGACACCACGCGCUUUCUUAUGGCAUUUGCUGGUUUAAAGUUUAAAGUUGGCAGAAUUGAGGCCUAUGAAUUUAUGGCAGUCACAACUAUGGCAGGCAUGUGGGUAAGGGGAUAUGUGGAAAACUCGAAGCCGUCAAUAACUCAAAAACAAUUGAAGAUAAGGUCUAUGGUACUUUUAUCAAAAAAUACU
RNAcentral lists this long non-coding RNA (1699 nucleotides) under Anthonomus grandis grandis. Its description in RNAcentral is "uncharacterized LOC126745165". The record is from RNAcentral. Lineage: Eukaryota; Metazoa; Arthropoda; Insecta; Coleoptera; Curculionidae.